Molecule: non-coding RNA, 415 nt
Organism: Sardina pilchardus (European sardine)
Lineage: Eukaryota; Metazoa; Chordata; Actinopteri; Clupeiformes; Clupeidae
Source: the annotation of a RefSeq genome assembly
CCACAGGAUGAAGGACACACUCUCACUGAUGCUGCUACUCAGCACCAUAGCCUCAGUGGUGAAAAGCCAAAGCAUGGAGUCCAUUCCCUCCAGUGCAGAGCUGAAGAAACCUGGUGACACUCUCAGCCUCUCCUGUAAAGGAGCUGGGUUUACUUUUGGGAGUUAUGGCAUGAACUGGAUCAGACAGCCUGCUGGCAAAGCACUGGAGUGGAUGGGUUACAUAUAUACGGAUGGUAGUGACACCAAUUAUGCCAGCAGUGUCCAGGGACGGAUAGAAAUCACCAGAGACAACCCCAACAGCAUGGUGUAUCUGAAACUGUCUGGUCUGAGGGCAGAGGACUCUGCUGUGUAUUACUGUGCAAGAUCCCACAGUGACAGAAAGGCUCUAGGUGCCGUACAAAUACAUCCCCUGUAA